This 253-nucleotide ribosomal RNA is filed under the name uncultured bacterium. Its description in RNAcentral is "partial 16S ribosomal RNA". It matches the Rfam family "Bacterial small subunit ribosomal RNA", at positions 524 to 776 of the family's 1533-position model. The record is from RNAcentral.
UACGUAGGGACCAAGCGUUGUUCGGAUUUACUGGGCGUAAAGGGCGCGUAGGCGGCGCGGUAAGUCACUUGUGAAAUCUCUGAGCUUAACUCAGAACGGCCAAGUGAUACUGCAGUGCUAGAGUGUGGAAGGGGCAAUCGGAAUUCUUGGUGUAGCGGUGAAAUGCGUAGAUAUCACUCGGAAGGCCAAAGGCGAAGGCAGGUUACUGGUACGCAACUGACGCUGAGGCACGAAAGCGUGGGGAGCAAACAGG